UUGCAGUUAAAAAGCUCGUAGUUGGACCUUGGGCCGGGCCGGCCGGUCCGCCUCACGGCGAGCACCGACCUGCUCGACCCUUCUGCCGGCGAUGCGCUCCUGGCCUUAACUGGCCGGGUUGUGCCUUCGGCGCCGUUACUUUGAAGAAAUUAGAGUGC
Molecule: ribosomal RNA, 158 nt
Filed under: Oryza sativa (Asian cultivated rice)
Lineage: Eukaryota; Viridiplantae; Streptophyta; Magnoliopsida; Poales; Poaceae
Description: partial 18S ribosomal RNA
Source: RNAcentral